UACGUAGGCAGCGAGCGUUGUUCGGAAUUACUGGGCGUAAAGAGUGUGUAGGCGGUGCUCUAAGUUCGGUGUGAAAUCUCCUGGCUCAACUGGGAGGGUGCGCCGGUAACUGGAGUGCUUGAGCGUGGGAGAGGAAAGCGGAAUUCCUGGUGUAGCGGUGAAAUGCGUAGAUAUCAGGAGGAACACCUGUGGUGUAGACGGCUUUCUGGACCAUAGCUGACGCUGAGACACGAAAGCGUGGGUAGCAAACAGG
RNAcentral lists this ribosomal RNA (253 nucleotides) under uncultured bacterium. RNAcentral describes it as "partial 16S ribosomal RNA". It matches the Rfam family "Bacterial small subunit ribosomal RNA", at positions 524 to 776 of the family's 1533-position model. The record is from RNAcentral.